GGAGUUUACUAUCUCUUAACUUGUCAUCUCUGGUUCUGUUGGAAUUUAUUGAAUUAAUGAAAAAAAAUAAUCCUGAUUUUCCUCUCAGUUCCAUAUUUCAAAAUACACUGUUAACUUAGUUCGAUGGUUCUGUUUCUAUGUGUCUUUUUGCUUCUAAAUUUUUCAGGUGGAUGUUUUUCAAGUGGAAGCGGUAGAUGUUGGGACUCUGCAAAGGAUGGUGGUUGAGAAAGGGAAAGGCUCUGACUGGCUUCUGGAGAAGAUUAUUGUGAAAGAGUCAGCAGCUUCACAGACAGAAACAUUAUUUAUGGCUCAAACAUGGCUAAAAGACAGACGCGAUGGAAAAAGAACUGCCGCAGUAACUCUGAAUGCCACAGAAAUUCAGGAGAGGAGGAGCACUUCUGCCUGGCCUUUAGGAAAAGAGCAAAUGAAUUCAGAAGGCAGAUGGAGGAUUUAUUUCACAAAACAUCAAGAAGAAACAAAAACAGACUUUGAAAAGUUGUCAGAAAAUAUAUCCAAGUUGGUUAUGGUUUUUUAUGGAAGCAACGGCAAGUCAAAUCCAGUUUCCAUGGAAAACAAAGUGGAACAUCAGGCUAAGAACCAAAUAACAUAUGAUAUACAUUUACCAUCCGAUUUGGGAGUGCUUUAUAAAGUGAGACUUGGUCCCCAGAGUUUGGAAAACAGCAUAUCCCAGUUGUCUCCUCGUCACUUUAAAAUGCAGAACACAUCAACCCUGGAUACCUUUAGUCUUACCAUAAAUAAAACACUUCCUCUUUCUCUUAAUGGAGACAGAUGGAUUGAAUUCCCCAUAGAGUGGCCAUUAAAAGAAGCACUUUCUGUGGUUACAUAUCAUCUAAGAGUAUUUUCUAGAAAUAUUUUGAGUGAGAGAAAUUUAGUGCAUAUGACUGCAUGUGUACAUGGUACUCAUGGUGACACAGGGGACAGAUCCCUUCUCUGGUCAUUGCAGAAUGUCCAGCAGGGAGACAACAACGAGGUAUUCUGUCUUUAAAAUUUAUCCUUUAAUCCAUUCUUGUACUUCCUACAUACUAUUUUCAAAUCUUCCUAGACACUUAAGUAAUAUAG
This 1080-nucleotide long non-coding RNA is filed under the name Calidris pygmaea (Spoon-billed sandpiper). Its description in RNAcentral is "lncRNA (ENSCPGG00000013936.1)". Lineage: Eukaryota; Metazoa; Chordata; Aves; Charadriiformes; Scolopacidae. The record is from RNAcentral.